Molecule: long non-coding RNA, 598 nt
Organism: Entelurus aequoreus (snake pipefish)
Lineage: Eukaryota; Metazoa; Chordata; Actinopteri; Syngnathiformes; Syngnathidae
Exons: 6
Source: RefSeq, a predicted model, not a curated record
GGGACGUGCGUCUGACGUCACGUAUACAGAAAAUUCGAAAUGGCUGCACGCGGUAGGUGAGGCCCGAGCGAAGAAAAGUGGAAAAGAUUGUUAUUCGUCAAAAAACCCACACAACGACGGUCAUUUUUUCGCCGUGCUAUUGUAAAAUUGUCUUUUAUCUGUGUUUUGUGUUCCGGGGGACCCCGACUCCAGAAUGUGAAAGUUUCCCGCGUGAAGCCGUGGAGCUCGAGAUCCUGUUUACUGUGGACUAGCUGUGUGUGACGCCAUGUUGUUUUUGUUUCCAUUACAAAAAAAGCUCCACCGUCUCGCCGAGUGCCAGCAAGAGUCAUGAGUACUUGUCAACUCGACUCCUCAACUGGAGAUAACUUUCUAGCACCUCACCAUGGGGAAGGAUGUAUUCAUAUGCCUUCACCAGCACCUGCAUUAAACAUGCAUAGAGUUACACAAGUUCUUACCACCUUGGGGCACCAUUCAGGGUGCCUUUUCAUCUGAUUAAAUUUAUAAUGAACAGGGACAUUGUGGUUGUCCCAAGUGAGUGGUAUGAUGAUAGGAUGGUUUUCUGGCCCAGCUAUAAAAACACCGACAGAAUUGAAAGGGC